GGGCCCGCACAAGCGGUGGAGCAUGUGGCUUAAUUCGAAGCAACGCGAAGAACCUUAUCCUGGGUUUGACAUGCAUGGAUUAGCUUCCUGAAAGGGAAGUGACGCGGCUUGCCGUGGAACAUGCACAGGUGCUGCAUGGCUGUCGUCAGCUCGUGCUGUGAAGUGUCGGGUUAAGUCCCGCAACGAGCGCAACCCUUAUCCUAUGUUGCCAGCACGUUAUGGUGGGGACUCGUGGGAGACUGCCGGUGCAAACCGUGAGGAAGGUGGGGAUGACGUCAAAUCAUCACGGCCCUUACGGGAUGGGCUACACACGUGCUACAAUGGCAGUGACAAUGGGUUAACCCCCAAAACUGUCUCAGUUCGGAUUGGAGUCUGCAACUCGACUCCAUGAAGUCGGAAUCGCUAGUAAUCG
Molecule: ribosomal RNA, 412 nt
Filed under: uncultured bacterium
Lineage: Bacteria
Description: bacterial SSU rRNA
Rfam family: Bacterial small subunit ribosomal RNA
Source: RNAcentral